GAUGAACGCUGGCGGCGUGCCUAAUACAUGCAAGUCGAGCGAACAGACGAGGAGCUUGCUCCUCUGACGUUAGCGGCGGACGGGUGAGUAACACGUGGAUAACCUACCUAUCAGACUGGGAUAACUUCGGGAAACCGGAGCUAAUACCGGAUAAUAUCUUGAACCGCAUGGUUCAAUAGUGAAAGACGGUUUUGCUGUCACUUAUAGAUGGAUCCGCGCCGCAUUAGCUAGUUGGUAAGGUCACGGGUUACCAAGGCGACCAUGCGUGAGCGACCUGAGAGGGUGGUCGGCCACCCUGGAACGUAGACACGGACCAGACGCCUACGGGAGGCAGCAGUAGGGAAUCUUCGGCAGUGGGCGGAGGCCUUACGGAGCAACGCCGCGUGUGUGAUGAAGGUCUUCGGAUCGUAAAACUCUGUUAUUAGGGAAGAACAGAUGUGUAAGGAACUAUGCACGGCUUGACGGUACCUGAUCAGAAAGCCACGGCUAACUACGUG
Molecule: ribosomal RNA, 497 nt
Filed under: uncultured bacterium
Lineage: Bacteria
Description: partial 16S ribosomal RNA
Rfam family: Bacterial small subunit ribosomal RNA
Source: RNAcentral